RNAcentral lists this ribosomal RNA (429 nucleotides) under bacterium. RNAcentral's name for it is "partial 16S ribosomal RNA". It matches the Rfam family "Bacterial small subunit ribosomal RNA", at positions 355 to 776 of the family's 1533-position model. The record is from RNAcentral.
UGGGGAAUAUUGGACAAUGGGCGAAAGCCUGAUCCAGCCAUGCCGCGUGUGUGAUGAAGGUCUUCGGAUUGUAAAGCACUUUAAGUUGGGAGGAAGGGCAGUAAGCUAAUACCUUGCUGUUUUGACGUUACCGACAGAAUAAGCACCGGCUAACUCUGUGCCAGCAGCCGCGGUAAUACAGAGGGUGCAAGCGUUAAUCGGAAUUACUGGGCGUAAAGCGCGCGUAGGUGGUUCGUUAAGUUGGAUGUGAAAUCCCCGGGCUCAACCUGGGAACUGCAUCCAAAACUGGCGAGCUAGAGUAUGGUAGAGGGUGGUGGAAUUUCCUGUGUAGCGGUGAAAUGCGUAGAUAUAGGAGGGAACACCAGUGGCGAAGGCGACCACCUGGACUGAUACUGACACUGAGGUGCGAAAGCGUGGGGAGCAAACAGG